UUCUGUCCCAGGCGUUCUGAAAGCAGCUCCUCCUCGUCCUCUUGCUCCAGCUCCGUCUCCCGUUCCCCGGUUCCCUGCCGGUACCGGCUCCCCUACCCACAGUCCUGGAACCGCUCUCGGUCCACAUCAAAGUCCUGGACUCAGUCUGGUUCCAGAUCUAGGUCCAGAUCCCCCACCACACUGGCCUACAGCAGGGCCCAGAGGUGGAGGGACUGCUGCAGCUCCAACAACAUCAGGGACUCCAGGAAACCAAAGAGACAACAAGAUAUGAGGAAUCAAAAACUAAAAGCCAUAGUGAGUACUGUGUAGUACAUUACAAAUCGUGGUACACCUUGUGUUUUUGCUGUUAACAUUUUAGAAAUAUAUUUUUAAAAUACUUUUUAAGAUGUUAAAUGUAAAUGUGACAUUACGUCCUGAUUUGAUUUGGAGACCAAAUUGCCACCAACUGUCCUCUUCGGUUCCCACCAGAUGGCCAAGCUGCAAAUUGAAGAUUGGCUAUAUCAUAAACAUUUCUGGAAACCAACAUGAGCUUUUUGCUCUUGGAUUUAGGUCAGGAAUAAGGUUAGCAGUGGGGUCAGGGUUAAUGUAGGAUGAGUUGGAUUUAGGUCAGGAAUAAGGUUAGCAGUGGGGUCAGGGUUAAUGUAGGAUGAGUUGGAUUUAGGUCAGGAAUAAGGUUAGCAGUGGGGUCAGGGUUAAUGUAGGAUGAGUUGGAUUUAGGUCAGGAAUAAGGUUAGCAGUGGGGUCAGGGUUAACGUAGGAUGAGUUGGAUUUAGGUCAGGAAUAAGGUUAGCAGUGGGGUCAGGGUUAAUGUAGGAUGAGUUGGAUUUAGGUCAGGAAUAAGGUUAGCAGUGUGGUCAGGGUUAAUGUAGGAUGAGUUGGAUUUAGGUCAGGAAUAAGGUUAGCAGUGGGGUCAGGGUUAAUGUAGGAUGAGUUGGAUUUAGGUCAGGAAUAAGGUUAGCAGUGGGGUCAGGGUUAAUGUAGGAUGAGUUGGAUUUAGGUCAGGAAUAAGGUUAGCAGUGUGGUCAGGGUUAAUGUAGGAUGAGUUGGAUUUAGGUCAGGAAUAAGGUUAGCAGUGGGGUCAGGGUUAACGUAGGAUGAGUUGGAUUUAGGUCAGGAAUAAGGUUAGCAGUGGGGUCAGGGUUAAUGUAGGAUGAGUUGGAUUUAGGUCAGGAAUAAGGUUAGCAGUGGGGUCAGGGUUAAUGUAGGAUGAGUGGGAUUUAGGUCAGGAAUAAGGUUAGCAGUGUGGUCAGGGUUAAUGUAGGAUGAGUUGGAUUUAGGUCAGGAAUAAGGUUAGCAGUGUGGUCAGGGUUAAUGUAGGAUGAGUUGGAUUUAGGUCAGGAAUAAGGUUAGCAGUGUGGUCAGGGUUAAUGUAGGAUGAGUUGGAUUUAGGUCAGGAAUAAGGUUAGCAGUGUGGUCAGGGUUAACGUAGGAUGAGUUGGAUUUAGGUCAGGAAUAAGGUUAGCAGUGGGGUCAGGGUUAAUGUAGGAUGAGUUGGAUUUAGGUCAGGAAUAAGGUUAGCAGUGUGGUCAGGGUUAACGUAGGAUGAGUUGGAUUUAGGUCAGGAAUAAGGUUAGCAGUGUGGUCAGGGUUAAUGUAGGAUGAGUGGGAUUUAGGUCAGGAAUAAGGUUAGCAGUGGGGUCAGGGUUAAUGUAGGAUGAGUUGGAUUUAGGUCAGGAAUAAGGUUAGCAGUGUGGUCAGGGUUAAUGUAGGAUGAGUUGGAUUUAGGUCAGGAAUAAGGUUAGCAGUGGGGUCAGGGUUAAUGUAGGAUGAGUGGGAUUUAGGUCAGGAAUAAGGUUAGCAGUGUGGUCAGGGUUAAUGUAGGAUGAGUGGGAUUUAGGUCAGGAAUAAGGUUAGCAGUGGGGUCAGGGUUAAUGUAGGAUGAGUUGGAUUUAGGUCAGGAAUAAGGUUAGCAGUGUGGUCAGGGUUAAUGUAGGAUGAGUUGGAUUUAGGUCAGGAAUAAGGUUAGCAGUGUGGUCAGGGUUAAUGUAGGAUGAGUUGGAUUUAGGUCAGGAAUAAGGUUAGCAGUGUGGUCAGGGUUAAUGUAGGAUGAGUUGGAUUUAGGUCAGGAAUAAGGUUAGCAGUGUGGUCAGGGUUAAUGUAGGAUGAGUUGGAUUUAGGUCAGGAAUAAGGUUAGCAGUGGGGUCAGGGUUAAUGUAGGAUGAGUUGGAUUUAGGUCAGGAAUAAGGUUAGCAGUGGGGUCAGGGUUAAUGUAGGAUGAGUUGGAUUUAGGUCAGGAAUAAGGUUAGCAGUGGGGUCAGGGUUAAUGUAGGAUGAGUUGGAUUUAGGUCAGGAAUAAGGUUAGCAGUGGGGUCAGGGUUAAUGUAGGAUGAGUUGGAUUUAGGUCAGGAAUAAGGUUAGCAGUGGGGUCAGGGUUAAUGUAGGAUGAGUUGGAUUUAGGUCAGGAAUAAGGUUAGCAGUGGGGU
This is a long non-coding RNA of Oncorhynchus keta (chum salmon), 2423 nucleotides long. RefSeq lists it as uncharacterized. The transcript is spliced from 8 exons. Lineage: Eukaryota; Metazoa; Chordata; Actinopteri; Salmoniformes; Salmonidae. The record is from RefSeq and is a predicted model, not a curated record.